RNAcentral lists this microRNA precursor (103 nucleotides) under Marmota monax (woodchuck). The record is from RNAcentral. Lineage: Eukaryota; Metazoa; Chordata; Mammalia; Rodentia; Sciuridae.
GGUGGAAUAGCUGGGUCAAAUGGUGAUUCCAUUCCAAGUUUUCUGAGGAAUAUCCAUACUGCUUUCCAUAGUGAUUGUUCCAAUUUGCAGUCUCACCAGCAAU